This 2130-nucleotide ribosomal RNA is filed under the name Bacillus thuringiensis serovar jegathesan. RNAcentral's name for it is "bacterial LSU rRNA". It matches the Rfam family "Bacterial large subunit ribosomal RNA", at positions 1 to 2130 of the family's 2925-position model. The record is from RNAcentral. Lineage: Bacteria; Bacillati; Bacillota; Bacilli; Caryophanales; Bacillaceae.
UUUGGUUAAGUUAGAAAGGGCGCACGGUGGAUGCCUUGACACUAGGAGUCGAUGAAGGACGGGACUAACGCCGAUAUGCUUCGGGGAGCUGUAAGUAAGCUUUGAUCCGAAGAUUUCCGAAUGGGGAAACCCACCAUACGUAAUGGUAUGGUAUCCUUAUCUGAAUACAUAGGGUAAGGAAGACAGACCCAGGGAACUGAAACAUCUAAGUACCUGGAGGAAGAGAAAGCAAAUGCGAUUUCCUGAGUAGCGGCGAGCGAAACGGAACAUAGCCCAAACCAAGAGGCUUGCCUCUUGGGGUUGUAGGACAUUCUAUACGGAGUUACAAAGGAACGAGGUAGACGAAGCGACCUGGAAAGGUCCGUCGUAGAGGGUAACAACCCCGUAGUCGAAACUUCGUUCUCUCUUGAAUGUAUCCUGAGUACGGCGGAACACGUGAAAUUCCGUCGGAAUCUGGGAGGACCAUCUCCCAAGGCUAAAUACUCCCUAGUGAUCGAUAGUGAACCAGUACCGUGAGGGAAAGGUGAAAAGCACCCCGGAAGGGGAGUGAAAGAGAUCCUGAAACCGUGUGCCUACAAAUAGUCAGAGCCCGUUAACGGGUGAUGGCGUGCCUUUUGUAGAAUGAACCGGCGAGUUACGAUCCCGUGCGAGGUUAAGCUGAAGAGGCGGAGCCGCAGCGAAAGCGAGUCUGAAUAGGGCGUUUAGUACGUGGUCGUAGACCCGAAACCAGGUGAUCUACCCAUGUCCAGGGUGAAGUUCAGGUAACACUGAAUGGAGGCCCGAACCCACGCACGUUGAAAAGUGCGGGGAUGAGGUGUGGGUAGCGGAGAAAUUCCAAUCGAACCUGGAGAUAGCUGGUUCUCCCCGAAAUAGCUUUAGGGCUAGCCUUAAGUGUAAGAGUCUUGGAGGUAGAGCACUGAUUGGACUAGGGGUCCUCAUCGGAUUACCGAAUUCAGUCAAACUCCGAAUGCCAAUGACUUAUCCUUAGGAGUCAGACUGCGAGUGAUAAGAUCCGUAGUCAAAAGGGAAACAGCCCAGACCGCCAGCUAAGGUCCCAAAGUGUGUAUUAAGUGGAAAAGGAUGUGGAGUUGCUUAGACAACUAGGAUGUUGGCUUAGAAGCAGCCACCAUUUAAAGAGUGCGUAAUAGCUCACUAGUCGAGUGACUCUGCGCCGAAAAUGUACCGGGGCUAAAUACACCACCGAAGCUGCGGAUUGAUACCAAUGGUAUCAGUGGUAGGGGAGCGUUCUAAGGACAGUGAAGUCAGACCGGAAGGACUGGUGGAGUGCUUAGAAGUGAGAAUGCCGGUAUGAGUAGCGAAAGACGGGUGAGAAUCCCGUCCACCGAAUGCCUAAGGUUUCCUGAGGAAGGCUCGUCCGCUCAGGGUUAGUCAGGACCUAAGCCGAGGCCGACAGGCGUAGGCGAUGGACAACAGGUUGAUAUUCCUGUACCACCUCUUUAUCGUUUGAGCAAUGGAGGGACGCAGAAGGAUAGAAGAAGCGUGCGAUUGGUUGUGCACGUCCAAGCAGUUAGGCUGAUAAGUAGGCAAAUCCGCUUAUCNNNNANGCUGAGCUGUGAUGGGGAAGCUCCUUAUGGAGCGAAGUCUUUGAUUCCCCGCUGCCAAGAAAAGCUUCUAGCGAGAUAAAAGGUGCCUGUACCGCAAACCGACACAGGUAGGCGAGGAGAGAAUCCUAAGGUGUGCGAGAGAACUCUGGUUAAGGAACUCGGCAAAAUGACCCCGUAACUUCGGGAGAAGGGGUGCUUUCUUAACGGAAAGCCGCAGUGAAUAGGCCCAAGCGACUGUUUAGCAAAAACACAGCUCUCUGCGAAGCCGUAAGGCGAAGUAUAGGGGGUGACACCUGCCCGGUGCUGGAAGGUUAAGGAGAGGGGUUAGCGUAAGCGAAGCUCUGAACUGAAGCCCCAGUAAACGGCGGCCGUAACUAUAACGGUCCUAAGGUAGCGAAAUUCCUUGUCGGGUAAGUUCCGACCCGCACGAAAGGUGUAACGAUUUGGGCACUGUCUCAACCAGAGACUCGGUGAAAUUAUAGUACCUGUGAAGAUGCAGGUUACCCGCGACAGGACGGAAAGACCCCGUGGAGCUUUACUGUAGCCUGAUAUUGAAUUUUGGUAC